RNAcentral lists this ribosomal RNA (301 nucleotides) under uncultured bacterium. RNAcentral's name for it is "partial 16S ribosomal RNA". It matches the Rfam family "Bacterial small subunit ribosomal RNA", at positions 509 to 807 of the family's 1533-position model. The record is from RNAcentral.
CAGCAGCCGCGGGAAUACGAAGGGUGCAAGCGUUACUCGGAAUUACUGGGCGUAAAGCGUGCGUAGGUGGUGGUUUAAGUCCGCUGUGAAAGCCCUGGGCUCAACCUGGGAAUUGCAGUGGAUACUGGGUCACUAGAGUGUGGUAGAGGAUAGUGGAAUUUCCGGUGUAGCAGUGAAAUGCGUAGAGAUCGGAAGGAACAUCUGUGGCGAAGGCGACUAUCUGGGCCAACACUGACACUGAGGCACGAAAGCGUGGGGAGCAAACAGGAUUAGAUACCCGUGUAGUCCCUGUCUCUUAUAC